This 88-nucleotide transfer RNA is filed under the name Felis catus (domestic cat). It matches the Rfam family "tRNA". From Rfam's summary of the family: Transfer RNA (tRNA) molecules are approximately 80 nucleotides in length. Their secondary structure includes four short double-helical elements and three loops (D, anti-codon, and T loops). Further hydrogen bonds mediate the characteristic L-shaped molecular structure. tRNAs have two regions of fundamental functional importance: the anti-codon, which is responsible for specific mRNA codon recognition, and the 3' end, to which the tRNAs corresponding amino acid is attached (by aminoacyl-tRNA synthetases). tRNAs cope with the degeneracy of the genetic code in two manners: having more than one tRNA (with a specific anti-codon) for a particular amino acid; and 'wobble' base-pairing, i.e. permitting non-standard base-pairing at the 3rd anti-codon position. Lineage: Eukaryota; Metazoa; Chordata; Mammalia; Carnivora; Felidae. The record is from Rfam by way of RNAcentral.
GCCCGGGUGGCUCAGUCAGUUAAGUCUCUGACUUCUGCUCAGGUCACUAUGUCUCCUCGGUUCGUGGGUUCAAGCCCCGCUUUGGGCC